UUAGUUCUUUGUCUCUCUGCUAUGAUAGAUCCAUGUGUAUCAGCUCUCUCACCCCCUAUUCAUUUUUGGUGUUCUUUUUCCAUCUUUAACGUAAUUCAGAGAUCUAAAUUGUAUUCAGCGACCACUGAGGAAGGCGUGCAGUACGCCGAAAGCUAU
Long non-coding RNA from Phlebotomus papatasi, 156 nucleotides. RefSeq lists it as uncharacterized. NCBI's taxonomy places the organism in Eukaryota, Metazoa, Arthropoda, Insecta, Diptera, Psychodidae. The record is from RefSeq and is a predicted model, not a curated record. The transcript has 3 exons.